Molecule: ribosomal RNA, 490 nt
Filed under: uncultured bacterium
Lineage: Bacteria
Description: partial 16S ribosomal RNA
Rfam family: Bacterial small subunit ribosomal RNA
Source: RNAcentral
AUUGAACGCUGGCGGCAGGCCUAACACAUGCAAGUCGAACGGUAACAGGAAGAAGCUUGCUUCUUUGCUGACGAGUGGCGGACGGGUGAGUAAUGUCUGGGAAACUGCCUGAUGGAGGGGGAUAACUACUGGAAACGGUAGCUAAUACCGCAUAACGUCGCAAGACCAAAGAGGGGGACCUUCGGGCCUCUUGCCAUCGGAUGUUCCCAGAUGGGAUUAGCUAGUAGGUGGGGUAACGGCUCACCUAGGCGACGAUCCCUAGCUGGUCUGAGAGGAUGACCAGCCACACUGGCACUGAGACACGGUCCAGACUCCUACGGGAGGCAGCAGUAGGGAAUAUUGCACAAUGGGCGCAAGCCUGAUGCAGCCAUGCCGCGUGUAUGAAGAAGGCCUUCGGGUUGUAAAGUACUUUCAGCGGGGAGGAAGGGAGUAAAGUUAAUACCUUUGCUCAUUGACGUUACCCGCAGAAGAAGCACCGGCUAACUCCGUG